This 253-nucleotide ribosomal RNA is filed under the name uncultured bacterium. RNAcentral's name for it is "partial 16S ribosomal RNA". It matches the Rfam family "Bacterial small subunit ribosomal RNA", at positions 524 to 776 of the family's 1533-position model. The record is from RNAcentral.
UACGGAAGGUUCUGGUGUUAUCCGGAUUUAUUGGGUUUAAAGGGAGCGCAGGCUGUCAGAUAAGCGUGUUGUGAAAUGCGGUUGCUCAACAUCCGCACUGCAGCGCGAACUGUUUGACUUGAGUACGCACGACGUUGGUGGAAUUUGCCGUGUAGCGGUGAAAUGCUUAGAUAUGGCGAAGAACUCCGAUUGCGAAGGCAGCUGACGGGAGCGCUACUGACGCUCAUGCUCGAAAGUGCGGGUAUCGAACAGG